AGAGUUUGAUCCUGGCUCAGAACGAACGCUGGCGGCAGGCCUAACACAUGCAAGUCGAGCGCACCUUCGGGUGAGCGGCGGACGGGUUAGUAACGCGUGGGAACGUACCCUUUUCUACGGAAUAGCCUCGGGAAACUGAGAGUAAUACCGUAUAAGCCCUUCGGGGGAAAGAUUUAUCGGGAAAGGAUUGGCCCGCGUUAGAUUAGAUAGUUGGUGGGGUAAUGGCCUACCAAGUCUACGAUCUAUAGCUGGUUUUAGAGGAUGAUCAGCAACACUGGGACUGAGACACGGCCCAGACUCCUACGGGAGGCAGCAGUGGGGAAUCUUAGACAAUGGGCGCAAGCCUGAUCUAGCCAUGCCGCGUGUGUGAUGAAGGUCUUAGGAUCGUAAAGCACUUUCGCCAGGGAUGAUAAUGACAGUACCUGGUAAAGAAACCCCGGCUAACUCCGUGCCAGCAGCCGCGGUAAUACGGAGGGGGUUAGCGUUGUUCGGAAUUACUGGGCGUAAAGCGUACGUAGGCGGAUUGGAAAGUUGGGGGUGAAAUCCCAGGGCUCAACCCUGGAACUGCCUCCAAAACUAUCAGUCUAGAGUUCGAGAGAGGUGAGUGGAAUUCCAAGUGUAGAGGUGAAAUUCGUAGAUAUUUGGAGGAACACCAGUGGCGAAGGCGGCUCACUGGCUCGAUACUGACGCUGAGGUACGAAAGUGUGGGGAGCAAACAGGAUUAGAUACCCUGGUAGUCCACACCGUAAACGAUGAAUGCCAGUCGUCGGGCAGUAUACUGUUCGGUGACACACCUAACGGAUUAAGCAUUCCGCCUGGGGAGUACGGUCGCAAGAUUAAAACUCAAAGGAAUUGACGG
This 859-nucleotide ribosomal RNA is filed under the name uncultured marine bacterium. RNAcentral describes it as "bacterial SSU rRNA". It matches the Rfam family "Bacterial small subunit ribosomal RNA", at positions 8 to 916 of the family's 1533-position model. The record is from RNAcentral.